AACAAGCACAGAUUCUGGAGUCCCUGACCCUCUCAACUCUGUCAUUUGUAAGGAUGUCUCUCUCCCCAUCUGGUGUCUCCGGCCCCUCCUCCUUCCACUGGGGAGGUGGGGGAGCCAGCAGCUGGAUGGCUUUGUGGGGAGGGACAUUACAAAGCCCAAGCCCACUUCCCUGGCCCCUCAGCCCCGAGCAGAUGGUCAGAGACAGAUGGGGGAUUGGAGCCUUGGGUGGGAGGGCUUGGGGACACAGGGUGGCCUAUCUCCAGACACAUGGGUUCCUGUGCCUUAGACCAAGCAUCUGCGGUUCCCAACUCCUUCCCCAUCCCCCUCGAGCCCCUACCCCAUUAGGCUCAUUUUCAAAACUAUGCCGCCUUCCUCUCUCCCCUUCUGGUUAACCAGCUUUUGGUGGUGAAGUAGAUGACAAAUUGGAUAGUAGAGAGUAGCUGUCAAUCCUGUCACACCUGGCUCUUCCUAGGAGAAAAAUGAAAUUGGUGGGUCCAGAAAGCCACCUGUUUAUGCUGGGGGAUGUUUGCAAACAGUCAUGUUAAUACAUUGAUUGUUUCAAACUGGGCAGUUGUAGAAUCAUGCUGGCUUCAACAAAUCAGUAUGCUGAUUUAAAUUGGGCAGGUACAUCUGCAGUUUUAAAGUGUAUAUGUUUACUAGCCUAACUGGUUUCAAUAUUGUGGUUUAUUUUUAUUUUUAUUUUUUUUUGAGACAUAGUCUUGCUCUGUUGCCUAGGCUGGAGUGCAGUGAUGCAAUUUUGGCUCACUGCAACCUCCACCUCCUGGGUUCAAGCAUUUCUCGUGCCUCAGCCUCCCGAGUAGCUGGGAGUACAGGCGCACACCACCACACUCAGCUAAUUUUUAUAGUUUUAGUAGAGACAGGGUUUCACCAUGUUGGUCAGGCUGGUCUCGAACUCCUGACUUCAGGUGGUCACUCGCCUCAGCCUCCCAAAGUGCUGGGAUUACAGGCUUGAGCCACCACUCCUGGCCCAAUAUAUUGUGUUUUUUUUAAGAGGCAGGCCCAUGUAUUGCACUAAAAAUACUGUAUUAAAGUAGGUAGCCUUGUAAGUUUACUGUUUUAUACUGGAUUCAUUAGCCGGGAGUGGUGGCCUGUGCCUGUGGUCCCAGCUACUCAGGAGGCUGAGGUGGGAGGAUCACUUGAGCCUGGAAGUUACAGGCUGCAGUGAGCUGUGAUCCCGCCACUGCACUCUAGCCUGGAUGACAGAGUGAGUCUCCAUCUCUAAAAAAAAAUAAGUUAAAAUGAGAAAGUAAACUGGAGUCAAUAUAUUCACUUAAACCAGGGUUUUUCACCCUUGGCCCUAUUGACGCUUUGGACCAGAUAAUUAUAGAGGACUGCCCUGUGCAUUGAAGGAUUUUUGCAGCAUCCUGGGCAUCUGCCUACUAGAUGCCAGUAUUGCGAUAACCGGUUAUAUCUCCCGGCAUUGCCAGAUUUCCCAGGGGUAGGCAGAUAGACAAAAUUGUUCCUAGUUCUGAACCACUGUUUUAUGGUAUAUGGAUGUGUUUAUAUAUUUAUUGUGGUUUAGAUUCAGCACACUGGAUUAAAGUGGGCAGAUCUGGAAGCCUAGUGAUUCAAAGUGGGCAAAAUACAGUGGCAUAAAUUAGGUGUGCCACCGUGCCCGGCCUUGUAUGUGGGUUUUAAGUGGGCCAAUGUAAUAAGCAUUCUGUUUCAUACCUGGGGUAGUAUGUGGAUAUAAGUAUCAGCUUAAAAUAGGGCAAGUAAAUAAAUCUGUGUUCCUA
Homo sapiens (human) is the source of this 1757-nucleotide long non-coding RNA. RefSeq lists it as uncharacterized. The transcript has 2 exons. Lineage: Eukaryota; Metazoa; Chordata; Mammalia; Primates; Hominidae. The record is from RefSeq and is a predicted model, not a curated record.